GACGAACGCUGGCGGCAUGCCUAACACAUGCAAGUCGAGCGAGCAGAUCCCUUCGGGGUGAAGCUAGCGGCGGACGGGUGAGUAACACGUGGGCAACCUGCCUCAUAGAGGGGAAUAGCCUUCCGAAAGGAAGAUUAAUACCGCAUAAGAUUGUAGCUUCGCAUGAAGCAGUAAUUAAAGGAGCAAUCCGCUAUGAGAUGGGCCCGCGGCGCAUUAGCUAGUUGGUGAGGUAACGGCUCACCAAGGCGACGAUGCGUAGCCGACCUGAGAGGGUGAUCGGCCACAUUGGGACUGAGACACGGCCCAGACUCCUACGGGAGGCAGCAGUGGGGAAUAUUGCACAAUGGGGGAAACCCUGAUGCAGCAAUGCCGCGUGAGUGAUGAUGGCCUUCGGGUUGUAAAGCUCUGUCUUUGGGGACGAUAAUGACGGUACCCGAGGAGGAAGCCACGGCUAACUACGUGCCAGCAGCCGCGGUAA
Molecule: ribosomal RNA, 478 nt
Filed under: uncultured bacterium
Lineage: Bacteria
Description: partial 16S ribosomal RNA
Rfam family: Bacterial small subunit ribosomal RNA
Source: RNAcentral